This 1322-nucleotide ribosomal RNA is filed under the name metagenome. RNAcentral describes it as "bacterial LSU rRNA". It matches the Rfam family "Bacterial large subunit ribosomal RNA", at positions 1614 to 2925 of the family's 2925-position model. The record is from RNAcentral.
AAAGCUUCUAGCCAGAAAUAAGGUGCCCGUACCGCAAACCGACACAGGUAGGCGGGGAGAGAAUCCUAAGGUGCGCGGGAAAACCCUCGUUAAGGAACUCGGCAAAAUGUAUCCGUAACUUCGGGAAAAGGAUAGCCAACUUUCGUGAAAUCCCUAGCGGAUGGAGCGAGGGGGGGCGACAGAAGAGAGGCCCAAGCGACUGUUUACCAUAAACACAGGUGCUUGCUAAAGAGAAAUCUGACGUAUAAGUGCUGACACCUGCCCGGUGCUGGAAGGUUAAGAGGAGGAGUUAGGAGCAAUCCGAAGCCCUGAAUUGAAGCCCCAGUAAACGGCGGCCGUAACAAUAACGGUCCUAAGGUAGCGAAAUUCCUUGUCGGGUAAGUUCCGACCCGCACGAAAGGUGUAACGACUUGGGCACUGUCUCAACGAGGGACCCGGUGAAAUUGAAAUACCUGUGAAGAUGCAGGUUACCCGCGACUGGACAGAAAGACCCCAUGGAGCUUUACUGCAACCUGAUAUUGAUUUUCGGUAAAUAAUGUACAGGAUAGGUGGGAGACGGAGAAGAAGGAACGCUAGUUUCUUUGGAGUCGAUGUUGGGAUACCACCCUUUAUUUACUGGAAAUCUAACUGAAGACGUAACAAAUCUCAAGACAGUUUCAGGCGGGCAGUUUGACUGGGGCGGUCGCCUCCCAAAAUGUAACGGAGGCGCCCAAAGGUUCCCUCAGCGCGGUCAGAAAUCGCGCGAAGAGUGCAAAGGCAGAAGGGAGCUUAACUGCGAGACAGACACGUCGAGCAGGUACGAAAGUAGGGCUUAGUGAUCCGGUGGUACCGCGUGGAAGGGCCAUCGCUCAACGGAUAAAAGCUACCCUGGGGAUAACAGGCUAAUCUCUCCCAAGAGUCCAUAUCGACGGGGAGGUUUGGCACCUCGAUGUCGGCUCAUCACAUCCUGGGGCUGAAGCAGGUCCCAAGGGUUGGGCUGUUCGCCCAUUAAAGUGGUACGUGAGCUGGGUUCAGAACGUCGUGAGACAGUUCGGUCCAUAUCCAUCGCGGGCGAAAGAAACUUGAAGGGAUCUGCUCCUAGUACGAGAGGACCGGAGUGGACGAACCAAUGGUGUACCAAUUAUUGCGCCAGCAGUACAGUUGGGUAGCUACGUUCGGAAAGGAUAAACGCUGAAAGCAUCUAAGCGUGAAACCAGCCUUAAGAUGAGGUUUCUCACAGAGUAAUCUGGUAAGACCCCUUGUAGACGACAAGGUAGAUAGGUCGGGAGUGGAAGUGCAGAAAUGCAUGCAGCGGACCGAUACCAAUAGGUCGAGGGCUUGAC